UACGAAGGGUGCAAGCGUUAAUCGGAAUUACUGGGCGUAAAGCGCGCGUAGGUGGUUUUGUAAGUUGGAGGUGAAAGCCCCGGGCUCAACCUGGGAAUUGCCUCCGAAACUGCAUGACUAGAGUACGGUAGAGGGUAGUGGAAUUUCCUGUGUAGCGGUGAAAUGCGUAGAUAUAGGAAGGAACACCAGUGGCGAAGGCGACUACCUGGACUGAUACUGACACUGAGGUGCGAAAGCGUGGGGAGCAAACAGG
RNAcentral lists this ribosomal RNA (253 nucleotides) under uncultured bacterium. RNAcentral's name for it is "partial 16S ribosomal RNA". It matches the Rfam family "Bacterial small subunit ribosomal RNA", at positions 524 to 776 of the family's 1533-position model. The record is from RNAcentral.